This is a long non-coding RNA of Ictalurus punctatus (channel catfish), 1253 nucleotides long. Lineage: Eukaryota; Metazoa; Chordata; Actinopteri; Siluriformes; Ictaluridae. The record is from Ensembl.
AUCAGAUAAGCAUUCGGCUAUCACAGCUGUGUUAGCAAAAACACUGAAGAAUACCGGUCCUGUAGCCGUCUUAGCCACUGAAAUGGCCAAUCAUAGCGCAACUAGUGUUAACAAGGCCAGAUCUCGGGCCGCCAUCUUACUAAGUGCUACAUGGAUAUAUCCUUUAUACUGAGAGAUAUCCUUAUAAUGAGUCUUUAUUAAUCACAUAUACAUUACAGCAGAGUGACAUACUUUUCUUCACAUGUCAGAAAGUUGGGGUCAGAGCGCAGGGUCAGAGCCAUGGUACAGCAGUCAGAGCCAUGGUACAGCGCCCCUGGAGCAGAGAGGGUUAAGGGCCUUGCUCAAGGGCCCAACAGUUGCAGUGCUGGGGCUUGAACCCCCAACCUUCUGAUCAGUAACCCAGAGCCUUAACCAAGUCACCACUGUCCCUGUAUGUAUUUAUGUACAAAUUUAGCCAAGAUCACAUUGAAUUAUUUUUCAAUGCAGUACGACGUUGCGGAGGCUGGUCUAACAAUUCCACUGCUGCACAUUUCAAAGCCACAUUUAAAUGUCUCAUCACAAGAUGUGGGGCCCUAGCCGCAGGAUCAUCAGGGAACUGCACAUGCUUUGGUGAUACAGACCUGGUACAGGCAGGAUUCAGCACUUUUGUAUCUCCAACUCUAAUCAGUGAUGGCUUGGUGGUUAAGGCUCUGGGUUCCUGAUGAGAAGGUCGGUGGUUCAAGCCCCAGCCCUUGAGCAAGGCCCUUAACCCUUUCUGCUCCAGGGGUGCCGUAUCAUGGCUGACCCUGUGCUCUGACCCCAACUUCCUAACAUGCUGGGGCAAGAUGAGGAGAUAGAAAAUAUGUGCAUGGACCAGGACUUUGUUCUCCCAAACCAGGAAGUCCUGGCAACCCUGCAGAAACAUCCUUGUAUACAUUGGAGGUUGGGUGGUUAGGAAGGCACUGCUGAAAGUCUCAUGCUCCACAUGCAGGGUGGCACUCAUGGCUUCAGAACCUUGGAUUAACUCAAUCAGUGAGACAGACCCUGAAUAGGACUGUUAUCUUUCUAGGACAGUGAACUGUAUAUGCACUAAUUUAAAUGACGGGUUUUACAUCCAUUUUUUGCAUGUGAGUACUGAUUAGAUGAAUAUCACAAUACAGAUUGGUUUCAUUUAACAAUAUGACCAUGAAAAUAAAAAUGUGAUUAAUACAAUAGCUAAAGGUAGUCUGUAAAGUCACUUGGAAGGUUGUAUCACAAGGUAGUGCCUGAGAAAU